This 346-nucleotide long non-coding RNA is filed under the name Nicotiana benthamiana. RNAcentral's name for it is "long non-coding RNA (NBEN_LNC002754)". Lineage: Eukaryota; Viridiplantae; Streptophyta; Magnoliopsida; Solanales; Solanaceae. The record is from RNAcentral.
GAGAUCUCACCUGAAUCUGGAAAAAGCAUCUACUUUUUCCACAAAAAAAAACCCAUCAGUUAAUUUAAUUAACAAACUCAAAAAAUAGAUAACUGUCUCUGAAUUAUACAUUUUUUUAUUUUAACCAUCUUAAAUCAGACAUGAUUAUUCAUUUUUAUUACGGCUAUUCCAAAAAGAAGAAAAAAGAAUAACAGGUGCAGUGUCGUCAUCUUCUUUUUCUUUAAAAGAAAAACAGAUUGAAAGGGAAGCUGGUGAAGCAAUCACACCAAGCGUAUAUUAGCAGCAACCAUAGAUCACUCAUCCUCCUCCUUUCUAGAAUUGCAUCUAUAGAUACAGUUAAGGCGGU